Molecule: long non-coding RNA, 6013 nt
Organism: Mus musculus (house mouse)
Lineage: Eukaryota; Metazoa; Chordata; Mammalia; Rodentia; Muridae
Product: RIKEN cDNA A130051J0 gene
Exons: 2
Source: RefSeq, a predicted model, not a curated record
UUCUUGGUGCCAAUUAAUUUUAGCUGCAAAGCUGAAGUGGCAAAGCCAAGCAAAAGCAAAAAGGAGUCAUAGAAAUGACCUGGGCCGGGUGGGUGGGCUGCUCGGGGGUGGUGCCUUUGCCAGGCAUGCAAGAGGCUGGGGUUCCCUAACAAUGGCCAUAAGAGCAUAUCGUGAUCGUGUGGCUGUAUUAAAUCCCCACAUUCUCCAUCUUAAAGUUUACCGAUCGAUCGAUCAGUCCAGAAGCACACUGCCUCGGAUGAAGGGACUUAGAGGCGUCUCCUCUUUGUUCUAAAACUAGCCUCUUUUCCCACGGACCCAGGCCUGAAUGUCCUGUCUAAACUGGAUCAGGCAGCUUAAAUCAUAUGACAUGAAAACCUAAAUCAGCCCUAUAACAAAUGCUUUCCUAAAACACCUACUAUGUGAUAAAGCAUCAGGACGAGGAACAGGAAGCAUCUCACAGUGAGACCACAGCUUUUGGUCAAGAGGUAUUGGUGAUGCGAGACAAAGCGUUCGCUACAGGAAAACUUCUACUAAAAGACACUCAUUUCAGUCUAGUGCACUACAAACACUACCAGCGGAGUUCAAUCCCACCCUCUACCAUGGGCACAUAGCAGGCAAUUCCUAAUAAUACAGAAUUAUCUCCCGCAAACCUCAGGAUUAAAACCAUAUCUCUAGUGGAGAUGUCUCUGGGAGUGUUUGAUCCAAAUUUCUUGGCUUCUAAAGGGGAAAGGGGAACCAGCCGUACAUGCCAUGGUGGCAGCCCCGCCCCCACAUGCUCUUUCAGAAUAAUUCUCUGAGGGCUCAUUUGUCACAUGCAGAACAGUGAGGUUGCCAAAGAGUUGAGAAAGGCUAGGGGACAUUUUGGAAAGUUGCUGUUUGACUCAGAAGUUAGAAUGUGGACAGCGAGACAUGACAGUGUGUGGAACUGAGCAAGGCCAGGCCGAAAGAGAAAAGACUUUGAUCACAGUUUGUUUGGUUUUUUAAAUCCUCAUUCUUUUGUUAAAAAAAAAAAUGCAUGCAUGUACACACAUACACACAUGAAUGUAAAAUAUAAUGCAUAAGCUGGGAGUAGCAGUACUGGGUUCAUUUGGAGGUUAACCCAUUGUGUCUUUAGGAAUCAUAGCCCCAUCAUCUGCCUUCCCAGGCCUCCUGGAUGGCUCUGCCGCCCACACUGCUCUACAGUUAGCCUGGCAAGGUUCCAAGCUUUCUCCUCUGUACUACUUCCGUACCAGGACUUCUCUUGACACACCCUUGAUUACAGCCUAGUAAAUGAUUAUGGCAAUAAGGUGUGCAAUGAAGCAGAAGAACUAGGAGUAUGUAUUCUUCAGAUAACACAGAAGAGAUUUCUACAAAGCUAUAAAACCGUUAAGUCUUAUGUCCAAUUAUCUCAGGAGUGAGUCAUUCAGGUGUGGUGGCUCAGGCCUGUAAUCGUAUGUUCAGGAGGCAGAUCGGGAGUCCAGAGCCAGCCUCAGCUACUUAAAGAGUCCAAAGAGACAGCCUGCCUAGGAGAGACUGUGUCUCCAAAAUGAUAAAAUAAAAAUAAGUAAAUAACACACACAUACAGUAGCAUAAUAAAUAAUAGCACACACAGAGAGAUAUGUCGUGAUAGAGAGAUAAUAAGAGUAAAGAUCAUGAAACACAAGAGCAGAACAAAUAAAUGAAGGCUAAGUAUAUAGAGGUUAGAAACAAGGGGUGUGAGAAUGCACUGGGGUCUUUUAGAGAAGCAGUUAUCAGCACUACCUACAGGAGUUUCCAACAGGCUUGGGAGGAGGAUGACUCACAGGGAAAGAGAGGAAUUGAGGCUGGAAGCAAUGGCCCAAGCCAAAGCAGCCAAGAAAAGUAUGACUUCACAGACCCCACCCCACCCCACCCAUCCUUCCUACCACUCAGCUCAAGAGGCGGACUUACACUAUACUCGACAGCUAGAAUGGGAUGCUUGGAGAUGCUCCUCCUCCUGUAAGCUCCGGGACACAACCCUUACACCUUGGAUCACUGCAGCCACUUCUAAACCCAACUCCUGGGAGGGUUUACAGUAAGUACCAUCUCCCUCCUCCUUACUUCUAAGACAUCUUUCUAGGGCUCCCAAGUUACAGACAGCUCAAGAUCUUUAAAAUGUCUGGAGGAUUCUUCACAGGAGAGUCCCUCCAUGUCCUUCCAGCCUGGCAUCUCUGCUCCGCGUAGGCUUUCCACAGCCUAACCACCACCUCUUCUGGAAAGUUCCCUUUCCUGCCGUCCUCCCAUAGUUCCGCAUACACUUCAAUAAAGCCACCCUCUACAAGGGACUUUUCAUGUUUCAAGGGACCCCCCGCCCUGGGACAGGGCUGUGUGCCUUGCCCCAUCUACCCCACAGCCAUCUGCCCUUAGCCCAGAAGGGUUACUCCACCACUGUUCAUGAGGUCCAACAGACCAGGACUAGAGUGGGGGAUGAUUAAACAUGAAAUGGACCUCGGGAAUAGUUUACAUGGGUAGAUAAGUCUUCCUGAGACUGCCACACCGAAAGAGGACAGAGAAAUGGCUGGGCCAUCAUCUAACAUGGCCUCGGUCCAUUUCCCAGGCGACAGACAAUCCGUCUGAGAAACCACAAAGUCAACGACCAGAAACGGACGGCAAACCGAGAGCUUUCAAACGCAUCCAUCUGAAGCCUGAGUCCUUCCUGAGAGCAGCCAGGUCUAGGACUACUUUCCCUUAGCAGAGUUUGAGCCACAGGUAAUCCAAGAAAAUAAAAGCCUUUUUAAACCUAUCAUACAAACUAUAGUUUUGUAUAGUAUUAUACAAACUAUAGAGGAGUGAGAGGCACUGAAGAAAUAUAUUAACCAAGAGCAUCUACAUUCUGCCAUGAAAGCUAUUGCUAUUCCUUUUUUAAGAUGGGGGAGGGGGGUGUAAGAGAGCCAAAGCAGAAAUGAAGGUCAGAGAAUAUGUGGAAGUAUAAUAAUCUCUCCUUCAUCAUGUGGGUCAUGGGGACUGAAUUCACGUCCUCCAUGGGGAUUGAAUUCACGUCCUGGAGCUUGGUAGCGGGUGCCUUUACCCCCUGAGUCAUCUCACCUGUCCUAUAUCACGUUUUAAAUCAAGAGGAAGUGAUGCUGAAUCAACUGACAAACUGGAGGUGGAAAGUGUGGAGACAAAAGCUGCCAAGGACAGACCACUCUGCAUUUCCGAGACUUGCAGUUACAGCCAUCUCCACCAGGGCACUUCUGCAACCGCUGCCCACACAGGACUUCUGUGGCUCCUUGGUAAAAUUGAGCAAGUUUUUAAGAAAAGAAAAAAAACAAAAAAACAAAAAACAAAAAACUGUGCCCCAUGGGUUCACUCAUCACUGCACCUUUUGGGUUACUUCCGAUGGUCACGACUUAACAAGGAAGACAACCAUGGGAAAGAUACCAUUUUCAAUUCUCCAUGUGGGUUCAUGCCAGGCAAGGAGGCUACUCCUGCACCUAAAGCGGUACCUAAAUAUUGAACAACGGCCAGAGUUAGUUCUCUAAGUACCGAGCAACAACCUGAAGUAACUGUUUAUAAAGCCGGGCAACCCGGCCUCCCAGAAGACUCGGCUUCACACACGCGGGUGGAACACCUCCGUGAUACAUCUUCUACUUUAAAAUGGUUUACUUUCGUUGUUUGAGGUUUGCCUUAGAUGACGUUGGGGCCUCGUGUCAAAGUAACUUUCCUGCUCUGAAUUUUAAAGCUAAGCAAAAUUUAACAGAAAUUAACAUGGGCGCUGAUUAUGCUUUAAACAACUAUACAACGCUCCCUCUAGUGAGGAGUCCCGAAGAGAGAGACUAACCAAGAGCUUUAACACUACAAGAUUGGAGGCAGAGGUUUCAAUUGCAGUCCUCCAUUUCACCAGCGCCUCCUCUCCCACUGUUGGAUUUAGAAUUAGUUCAUAAUAGUCUAUCAACCUACUUCAGUAAACCUUCAAGAAGGCUUAUAAUUCUGUAGUAACAUAAACGUUCAUAGGUUUGGUAAAACGUCUGGGACAAAAACAUAACUAUGAUCCACAUGAAAUUCAUAAUUCAAUAAAGGACAACCAAAAAUUGCCAGGACCUGCUUAAACGUUGCCUGUCCAAACAGGCUGUCUGCUAUCUAAAGUAUGAAUCUAAAUACUGGAGGCUACAGUAAGAAGAGGCAGAGGUAGUUAACUACAUCGGCUGUUUUACUUCGUGGAACAAGCAUGAAUUACAUGGGUCAGUAAAAGCAAAGCCAGCCUACUGGCAGGGUCUGAAGACAACCUAUGAUGCCUAUCAUGUAACAGAGGCUAGACCAAAUUAGAUUUUCUUUCUAAAUUGAAAUCUGAGGGCAGCAAGGGCUUACACUCAGAGCCUCUUGCUUAUGUCAAUUUCUAUUCCGGCUGGAUCUCACUUGAGUGCCUCACUAUGACAGACAAGAAUAUUUCCCUAAGAAACUAACUGUGCUAAUACGAGUGUAACUUUUUAACGCUGCUCCCGUGGGUGGUAUUUUAUGUAAACGGUCACUUAACUGUUCAGUCUCAUGAGACAAGAGCAUCCUACAUCCUUUACCCAAUCAGCCGCCAGGUGCAGAGCCUUAACUUGCUCAACUCUGGGAAAUCAGAAACUUCUACUUGACAGUGUGAGGCUCCAGGAAGGCUAACCUGGGCACACUUUUCUCCUCUCCUUAAAAAGGAAUACUAUUUGCUCUCUCCACAAAGAGGAGUGCCUGAUAAACCGCUGUCACAAUGAAAGGCCAAGGCUAAAUCGCGGCGUGGAAUUCCCAAGUUCGUCUAGACCUGGGAGUUACCAAAUUCCUUUGAUUGGUCUGUGAGCAAAACCUGAAAGGAAGGAAAAGCCACACCCAACUCCUAAAUUUACUUUGUAAAGUGUUUGGAGGCCUUGAGAGGGAACAUUUUGACAUCCAGGAGGCCUGAUGGAAACGUGCCACGGUCCUCCGCCCGGCGUCGCCCCGCGUCCCUGCCCCGCGCCCGCGGCUCCAGCCCUUUUGUUUGUGUCUCUGCGGGCUGGUGCAGCGGCGCAGCCUGUGGCCUCGGAGAAUCCGGCUCAGGUGUGUCGUGAACCCGGGAGCAGGGGCCCCCAAAACACCGCCCGGAGCGGACGCAGGAAAAAGACCCGAAGUUGCUUGGGAGGUUCGGCUUCCGCGCAGAGGCGUCCGCCCCGGAUCCCCCUUGCCCUGGCCCCGGUUCCGGCACUCACCAAUGUCUCCAUCCUCAUCGUCGUCCUCCUCCAGCUCCAUGUUCAGCAGGACCUUCCUAGUCAUCAUCUGCAUGUCUCCCGGAGACCGUCACUCGGCUGCUCUCGGCUCCGCUCGGCUCCGCUCGGCUCGGGCCGCAAGCUCCGCUCUGCCCUCUCGGCACUGCCCCGCUGCGCUCCGCCCGCGCUCUGCUUCAGCAGGCGCUGCUCAGCCUGCGACUGAGCAUGCCCAGAGGGACGCCGCCGCUCCCGCCCCAGAUCAAACCGCCCCGGCUGCGAGGAGCCUGGGAGGAAGUCGGGCUGGGGGGGUUGGGGGAAGGGGAGUGGCAGAAGCCGGGCGAGCCGCGCCGCGCCUGCGGGGAGCGCUGCAGCCGCAGAGGCAGGCCGGCUUCUAUGAGCUCACGAGGGUCUUUAAUCUGCAGAAUGACGAGACGUUGCAAGGUCUCUGUAAAAUGGGCUAGCAAGCAGCUGCUGUAUUCUUCAAUCUCUGCAAUCCUCCUGAGCAUACUUGAGACCACCCUAGAAGUCUGGGCACUGGCAAAGGGUCAGGAUCAUGACCAGGUGAGGCAUGGUGGCAGCUGUCCCUUACCUGGAUUGCCAGAACCUCAAUCACCCAGACUGAAAAGCAAAGAAUGUCUCUCUCACACAGAGAUUGUCAUCUCAGCCAUGUGGACUGCAGUGAAAAGCCAGAGAGACGUACCUGGCUCGCCUUCUGCCUUUGCAAAAGCAGUUAGUCAGACCACCAACAGAUUAGUUGGAGACUCCACAGCUACAGAACCUUAUAUGCUCUUUGAACAAAGAACUCUAACCAUUACAAUAUUUUAGCUUUGGGGAAUGAAAUAUGGAGUGUAAAAAAA